Molecule: ribosomal RNA, 528 nt
Filed under: uncultured bacterium
Lineage: Bacteria
Description: partial 16S ribosomal RNA
Rfam family: Bacterial small subunit ribosomal RNA
Source: RNAcentral
UGGGGAAUAUUGCACAAAGGGCGCAAGCCUGAUGCAGCCAUGCCGCGUGUGUGAAGAAGGCCUUCGGGUUGUAAAGCACUUUCAGCGAGGAGGAAGGUGGCGAGCUUAAUACGCUCAUCAAUUGACGUUACUCGCAGAAGAAGCACCGGCUAACUCCGUGCCAGCAGCCGCGGUAAUACGGAGGGUGCAAGCGUUAAUCGGAAUUACUGGGCGUAAAGCGCACGCAGGCGGUUUGUUAAGUCAGAUGUGAAAUCCCCGGGCUCAACCUGGGAACUGCAUUUGAAACUGGCAAGCUAGAGUCUCGUAGAGGGGGGUAGAAUUCCAGGUGUAGCGGUGAAAUGCGUAGAGAUCUGGAGGAAUACCGGUGGCGAAGGCGGCCCCCUGGACGAAGACUGACGCUCAGGUGCGAAAGCGUGGGGCAGCAAACAGGAUUAGAUACCCUGGUAGUCCACGCUGUAAACGAUGUCGAUUUGGAGGUUGUGCCCCUUGAGGCGUGGCUUCCGGAGCUAACGCGUUAAAUCGACCGCC